UGGGGAAUAUUGGACAAUGGGCGAAAGCCUGAUCCAGCCAUGCCGCGUGUGUGAAGAAGGUCUUCGGAUUGUAAAGCACUUUAAGUUGGGAGGAAGGGCAGUAAGUUAAUACCUUGCUGCUUUGACGUUACCGACAGAAUAAGCACCGGCUAACUCUGUGCCAGCAGCCGCGGUAAUACAGAGGGUGCAAUCGUUAAUCGGAAUUACUGGGCGUAAAGCGCGCGUAGGUGGUUUGUUAAGUUGGAUGUGAAAGCCCCGGGCUCAACCUGGGAACUGCAUCCAAAACUGGCAAGCUAGAGUACGGUAGAGGGUGGUGGAAUUUCCUGUGUAGCGGUGAAAUGCGUAGAUAUAGGAAGGAACACCAGUGGCGAAGGCGACCACCUGGACUGAUACUGACACUGAGGUGCGAAAGCGUGGGGAGCAAACA
Molecule: ribosomal RNA, 427 nt
Filed under: uncultured bacterium
Lineage: Bacteria
Description: partial 16S ribosomal RNA
Rfam family: Bacterial small subunit ribosomal RNA
Source: RNAcentral